CACCUCUCAGAGUCGCACCUGGAGAGUUUCCAGUCCUCUACCAGUCUCGACUACGGGAGGGAGAGUCAAGCUGAGGCCUACCCAUUCCAUUCCUAGCUUGGCCUGUCGCUAGCAAGUGGAAGGUUAUCCACUACAAGU
Small nucleolar RNA from Tachyglossus aculeatus (Australian echidna), 138 nucleotides. Lineage: Eukaryota; Metazoa; Chordata; Mammalia; Monotremata; Tachyglossidae. The record is from RefSeq and is a predicted model, not a curated record.